UACGUAGGGGGCAAGCGUUGUCCGGAAUUAUUGGGCGUAAAGAGCGCGUAGGCGGUCCGAUAAGUCGGCUGUGAAAGUCAGGGGCUCAACCCUUGAAAGCCGGCCGAUACUGUCGGACUAGAGUCCGGAAGAGGCAAGUGGAAUUCCCGGUGUAGCGGUGAAAUGCGCAGAUAUCGGGAGGAACACCAAUGGCGAAGGCAGCUUGCUGGGACGGUACUGACGCUGAGGCGCGAAAGCGUGGGAGCA
RNAcentral lists this ribosomal RNA (246 nucleotides) under uncultured bacterium. RNAcentral's name for it is "partial 16S ribosomal RNA". It matches the Rfam family "Bacterial small subunit ribosomal RNA", at positions 524 to 770 of the family's 1533-position model. The record is from RNAcentral.